AGUGAACGCUGGCGGUAGGCCUAACACAUGCAAGUCGAACGGCAGCACAGUAAGAGCUUGCUCUUACGGGUGGCGAGUGGCGGACGGGUGAGGAAUACAUCGGAAUCUACUUUUUCGUGGGGGAUAACGUAGGGAAACUUACGCUAAUACCGCAUACGACCUACGGGUGAAAGCAGGGGAUCUUCGGACCUUGCGCGAUUGAAUGAGCCGAUGUCGGAUUAGCUAGUUGGCGGGGUAAAGGCCCACCAAGGCGACGAUCCGUAGCUGGUCUGAGAGGAUGAUCAGACACACUGGAACUGAGACACGGUCCAGAUUCCUACGGGAGGCAGCAGUGGGGAAUAUUGGACAAUGGGCGCAAGCCUGAUCCAGCCAUACCGCGUGGGUGAAGAAGGCCUUCGGGUUGUAAAGCCCUUUUGUUGGGAAAGAAAAGCAGCAGGUUAAUACCACGCUGUUCUGACGGUACCAAAAGAAUAAGCACCGGCUAACUUCGUG
This 492-nucleotide ribosomal RNA is filed under the name uncultured bacterium. RNAcentral's name for it is "partial 16S ribosomal RNA". It matches the Rfam family "Bacterial small subunit ribosomal RNA", at positions 29 to 507 of the family's 1533-position model. The record is from RNAcentral.